RNAcentral lists this ribosomal RNA (516 nucleotides) under uncultured bacterium. Its description in RNAcentral is "partial 16S ribosomal RNA". It matches the Rfam family "Bacterial small subunit ribosomal RNA", at positions 28 to 523 of the family's 1533-position model. The record is from RNAcentral.
GACGAACGCUGGCGGCGUGCCUAAUACAUGCAAGUCGAGCGGAGUGGAUAGAAAGCUUGCUUUCUUGAGACUUAGCGGCGGACGGGUGAGUAACACGUAGGCAACCUGCCCUUUAGCCUGGGAUAACUACCGGAAACGGUAGCUAAUACCGGAUACUUUCAAUUCUCGCAUGGGAAACGAACGAAAGACGGAGCAAUCUGUCACUGAAGGAUGGGCCUGCGGCGCAUUAGCUAGUUGGUGGGGUAACGGCUCACCAAGGCGACGAUGCGUAGCCGACCUGGGAGGGUGAUCGGCCACACUGGGACUGAGACACGGCCCAGACUCCUACGGGAGGCAGCAGUAGGGAAUCUUCCGCAAUGGGCGAAAGCCUGACGGAGCAACGCCGCGUGAGUGAUGAAGGUUUUCGGAUCGUAAAGCUCUGUUGCCAGGGAAGAACGUCCGGUAGAGUAACUGCUACCGGAGUGGCGGUACCUGAGAAGAAAGCCCCGGCUAACUACGUGCCAGCAGCCGCCGUAA